This 423-nucleotide ribosomal RNA is filed under the name uncultured bacterium. RNAcentral describes it as "bacterial SSU rRNA". It matches the Rfam family "Bacterial small subunit ribosomal RNA", at positions 207 to 622 of the family's 1533-position model. The record is from RNAcentral.
AAGACCUUGCGCUUUUGGAGCGGCCGAUGCCUGAUUAGCUUGUUGGUAAGGUAAAAGCUUACCAAGGCUUCGAUCAGUAGCUGGUCUGAGAGGACGGCCAGCCACACUGGGACUGAGACACGGCCCAGACUCCUACGGGAGGCAGCAGUGGGGAAUUUUGGACAAUGGGGGCAACCCUGAUCCAGCCAUGCCGCGUGAGUGAAGAAGGCCUUCGGGUUGUAAAGCUCUUUCAGCCGGAACGAAACGGUUACGGUUAAUACCCGUGAUUACUGACGGUACCGGAAGAAGAAGCACCGGCUAACUACGUGCCAGCAGCCGCGGUAAUACGUAGGGUGCGAGCGUUAAUCGGAAUUACUGGGCGUAAAGCGUGCGCAGGUGGUUUUGUAAGUCAGAUGUGAAAGCCCCGGGCUCAACCUGAGAACU